GACGAACGCUGGCGGUAUGCCUAACACAUGCAAGUCGAACGAGAUCAUAUUUUUGUUUACGUUCGCGUAGCAAUGAAUAUGAUUGCAGUGGCGGACGGGUGAGGAACACGUAAGAACUUACCUUUUGGCGGGGGAUAACAACGGGAAACUGUUGCUAAUACCCCAUAACGCUGAGGAGCGAAAGGGAAACUACCAAAAGAGAGGCUUGCGUCUGAUUAGCUAGUUGGAGGAGGUAAAUGCUCCCCAAGGCGACGAUCAGUAGCUGGUCUGAGAGGAUGAUCAGCCACACUGGGACUGAGACACGGCCCAGACUCCUACGGGAGGCAGCAGUGGGGAAUUUUCCACAAUGGGCGAAAGCCUGAUGGAGCAAUACCGCGUGAGGGAUGAAGGAUCGUGGUUUGUAAACCUCUUUUCUUGACGAAGAAGUUCUGACGGUAUC
This 439-nucleotide ribosomal RNA is filed under the name uncultured alga. RNAcentral describes it as "bacterial SSU rRNA". It matches the Rfam family "Bacterial small subunit ribosomal RNA", at positions 28 to 463 of the family's 1533-position model. The record is from RNAcentral.